This 1075-nucleotide ribosomal RNA is filed under the name Lacticaseibacillus rhamnosus. RNAcentral describes it as "bacterial SSU rRNA". It matches the Rfam family "Bacterial small subunit ribosomal RNA", at positions 49 to 1089 of the family's 1533-position model. The record is from RNAcentral. Lineage: Bacteria; Bacillati; Bacillota; Bacilli; Lactobacillales; Lactobacillaceae.
CUAUACAUGCAGUCGAACGAGUUCUGAUUAUUGAAAGGUGCUUGCAUCUUGAUUUAAUUUUGAACGAGUGGCGGACGGGUGAGUAACACGUGGGUAACCUGCCCUUAAGUGGGGGAUAACAUUUGGAAACAGAUGCUAAUACCGCAUAAAUCCAAGAACCGCAUGGUUCUUGGCUGAAAGAUGGCGUAAGCUAUCGCUUUUGGAUGGACCCGCGGCGUAUUAGCUAGUUGGUGAGGUAACGGCUCACCAAGGCAAUGAUACGUAGCCGAACUGAGAGGUUGAUCGGCCACAUUGGGACUGAGACACGGCCCAAACUCCUACGGGAGGCAGCAGUAGGGAAUCUUCCACAAUGGACGCAAGUCUGAUGGAGCAACGCCGCGUGAGUGAAGAAGGCUUUCGGGUCGUAAAACUCUGUUGUUGGAGAAGAAUGGUCGGCAGAGUAACUGUUGUCGGCGUGACGGUAUCCAACCAGAAAGCCACGGCUAACUACGUGCCAGCAGCCGCGGUAAUACGUAGGUGGCAAGCGUUAUCCGGAUUUAUUGGGCGUAAAGCGAGCGCAGGCGGUUUUUUAAGUCUGAUGUGAAAGCCCUCGGCUUAACCGAGGAAGUGCAUCGGAAACUGGAAAACUUGAGUGCAGAAGAGGACAGUGGAACUCCAUGUGUAGCGGUGAAAUGCGUAGAUAUAUGGAAGAACACCAGUGGCGAAGGCGGCUGUCUGGUCUGUAACUGACGCUGAGGCUCGAAAGCAUGGGUAGCGAACAGGAUUAGAUACCCUGGUAGUCCAUGCCGUAAACGAUGAAUGCUAGGUGUUGGAGGGUUUCCGCCCUUCAGUGCCGCAGCUAACGCAUUAAGCAUUCCGCCUGGGGAGUACGACCGCAAGGUUGAAACUCAAAGGAAUUGACGGGGGCCCGCACAAGCGGUGGAGCAUGUGGUUUAAUUCGAAGCAACGCGAAGAACCUUACCAGGUCUUGACAUCUUUUGAUCACCUGAGAGAUCAGGUUUCCCCUUCGGGGGCAAAUGACAGGUGGUGCAUGGUUGUCGUCAGCUCGUGUCGUGAGAUGUUGGGUUAAGUCCCG